RNAcentral lists this ribosomal RNA (1256 nucleotides) under Aoria nigripes. RNAcentral describes it as "16S ribosomal RNA". The stretch from base 510 to 1256 matches the Rfam family "Archaeal large subunit ribosomal RNA", at positions 1423 to 2802 of the family's 2987-position model. Lineage: Eukaryota; Metazoa; Arthropoda; Insecta; Coleoptera; Chrysomelidae. The record is from RNAcentral.
AAUUUAAUUUGUCUUAUUUAAAUUUUUAAAAUUUUAUAUUAUUUUUUAGAAAAAAUUUAUUUUAUAAUAGUUAAUUAUUUUUGUGAAAUAAUUUUUUAAUUUGUCUAAAAGAAAAAUUGAAUUUUUGUACCUUGUGUAUCAGGGUUGAUUAAUUUAAAAAUUUUAUUUAUUUAAUCCCGAAUUUAAGAGAGCUACAUUUUUAUAUAUAUUAUUGUUUCAUAAAUAUUUAAAAUAAAAAUGUUGAAAUGAAACGUUAUUCGUUCUUAAUAUAUAUCUGGUUUUCUAAGAAAUAUAUUUAAUAUAGAAAUUUUUAAUAUAUUUUUAAUUUUUAAGAUUAUAUUAAAAAUUUUUAAUUUAUUAAGGGAUAAUCUUUAAUAAAAAUUUUUAUUAAUUUUUAAUAUAGAAUUUUUAUUUAAAAUUAAGAUUGUUUAAGGUUUUUAGUAUUUUAUAAUUAAGAAGUUUUUUUUAAUAAUUUUUAUGUUUUAUAAAUAUUUUAUUAGAAUUUUAAUUGAAAUAAAUUUUAAUUUUGUAAUUAUGAUUAAAUUAGUAAAAUUUUUUGUAUAAAUAUUUAUUAUUAAAAAAUUUAAUAUAAAGGAAUUCGGCAAAAUAAUUCUUUCACCUGUUUAUUAAAAACAUGGCUUUUUGUAAAAAAUUUAAGGUCUAGCCUGCCCAGUGAUUAUUUUAACGGCCGCAGUAAUUUGACUGUGCUAAGGUAGCAUAAUCAUUAGUUUUUUAAUUUGAAACUGGAAUGAAAGGUUGAAUGAGAAGAUGACUGUCUCUAUUUAAUAUUUUGAAUUUAAUUUUUAAGUGAAAAAGCUUAAAUUUUAUUAAAAGACGAGAAGACCCUUUAGAGUUUUAUAUAAAGUUUUUAUUAUGUUAUUUAGUAUAUAUGUACUGUAAUGAUUUUAUAUUUAGUUGGGGUGAUUGUUAAAUUUAAUGAACUUUAAUUUUUAUAAACUUUUAUUAUUGAAUUGUUGAUUCAUAUAAAUGAUUAAUAGAAAAAUUACCUAAGGGAUAACAGCGUAAUUUUUUUGGAGAGUUCUUAUCGAUAAAAUAGAUUGCGACCUCGAUGUUGGAUUAAAAUAUGUAAUUAGGUGAAGAGGCUAAUUAACUUGGUCUGUUCGACCAUUAAAAUUUUACAUGAUCUGAGUUUAGACCGGCGUGAGCCAGGUUGGUUUCUAUCUUUAAUUAAAAUUUAAAUUUUUAGUACGAAAGGACCAAAAUUUGUUAAAAAUUAAUUUUUAUUGAAUAUUAAU